CUCAACGGUGGAAUUGCAGGGCAAACCAACGGUCUUGAGGCAGGCAGGGGCCGACGGAACUGUGGGUGGAGCGGUGAAAUGCGUAGAUAUCCACAGGAACGCCAGUGGCGAAGGCGGUCGGCUGGGCCUGUUCUGACGCUCAGGCACGAAAGCGUGGGGAGCAAACAGGAUUAGAUACCCUGGUAGUCCACGCCCUAAACGAUGCACACUAGGUCGUCGCGGUUCUGACACCGUGACGGCCGAAGCGAAAGCGUUAAGUGUGCCGCCUGGGGAGUACGGUCGCAAGGCUAAAACUCAAAGGAAUUGACGGGGGCUCACACAAGCGGUGGAGCAUGUUGCUUAAUUCGAGGCAACGCGAAGAACCUUACCUGGGCUUGACAUGCACGGAUUAACUCCCUGAAAGGGAAGCCACGCCCUCGGGUGGAACG
Molecule: ribosomal RNA, 428 nt
Filed under: uncultured bacterium
Lineage: Bacteria
Description: bacterial SSU rRNA
Rfam family: Bacterial small subunit ribosomal RNA
Source: RNAcentral